RNAcentral lists this long non-coding RNA (227 nucleotides) under Manihot esculenta (cassava). Its description in RNAcentral is "long non-coding RNA (MESC_LNC013022)". The record is from RNAcentral. Lineage: Eukaryota; Viridiplantae; Streptophyta; Magnoliopsida; Malpighiales; Euphorbiaceae.
CACUUAAUUCCAAGUACACAGAGCUUGGAUCAAACUCAGCAGGGAAGUCCCAGGUGGACUGAGGGCAUUCACAGCCCAUGGCUAUGCCGAAUUCCUGCAGGGAUAAGCGAAAUCGCUUCCCCAAUAACCUAAAUCCAAUAGUGUCUGGUGUGUGUAUGUUAUGCAUGGCAGGUUUAUCAAAAUAGAACGUGGUGAAGAACUCAUGUGUGAGUUCAAGGAAGGAGGGC